Non-coding RNA from Pelobates cultripes (western spadefoot toad), 222 nucleotides. The record is from the annotation of a GenBank genome assembly. Lineage: Eukaryota; Metazoa; Chordata; Amphibia; Anura; Pelobatidae.
CGAAAGUAAACAUCAUAGAUUAACGGAAUCUAGCCAUUGUUGCCACCCAGGAUUAGUGGGAGUCUAAACGCAGGACUUCUCUUUUUGGAUCACACAGCUAUGUUACAAUGCUGCUUCCCAUCCCAUGUGUUCCCUAGUAAGGGUUAAUAAGUAUAUCGGGGUUUAUAUAAAAUACCCCUCUCUGUCUUGUUAGAGAUAUCUUUACCUGAAGCUGAAUGAAGC